Molecule: ribosomal RNA, 1505 nt
Filed under: uncultured Bacteroidota bacterium
Lineage: Bacteria; Pseudomonadati; Bacteroidota
Description: uncultured Bacteroidetes bacterium 16S ribosomal RNA
Rfam family: Bacterial small subunit ribosomal RNA
Source: RNAcentral
UCAUGGCUCAGGAUGAACGCUAGCGGGAGGCUUAAUACAUGCAAGUCGAGGGGUAACAUGGAACUUCGGUUUUGAUGACGACCGGCGCACGGGUGAGUAACGCGUACAUAACCUACCUAUUACAGAAGGACAGCCCUGGGAAACUGGGAUUAAUACUUCAUGGUCUUUUUUCACUGCAUGGUGAAAUUAGUAAAGUUUCGGCGGUAAUAGAUGGAUGUGCGUACUAUUAGGUAGUUGGUAAGGUAACGGCUUACCAAGCCUACGAUAGUUAGGGGGCGUGAGAGCGUGAUCCCCCACACGGGUACUGAGACACGGACCCGACUCCUACGGGAGGCAGCAGUAAGGAAUAUUGGUCAAUGGGGGCAACCCUGAACCAGCCAUCCCGCGUGCAGGAUGAAUGCCCUAUGGGUUGUAAACUGCUUUUAUAUAAGAAGAACCGUACUCAUUAAUGAGUGCCUGACGGUACUAUAUGAAUAAGCACCGGCUAAUUCCGUGCCAGCAGCCGCGGUAAUACGGAAGGUGCAAGCGUUAUCCGGAAUCACUGGGUUUAAAGGGUGCGUAGGCGGGCUAAUCAGUCAGAAGUGAAAGCUCAUCGCUUAACGAUGGAACUGCUUUGAUACUGUUAGUCUUGAAUUAGGUUGAGGUUAGCGGAAUGAGUCAUGUAGCGGUGAAAUGCAUAGAUAUGACUUAGAACACCAUUGCGAAGGCAGCUGGCUAGACCUAUAUUGACGCUGAGGCACGAAAGCUUGGGAGCAACAGGAUUAGAUACCCUGGUAGUUCACGCCCUAAACGAUGCUUACUCGCUGUUUGGAUUUAUUCUGAGCGGCUAGGGAAACCAUUAAGUAAGCCACCUGGGAGUACGUUCGCAAGAAUGAAACUCAAAGGAAUUGACGGGGUCCGCACAAGCGGUGGAGCAUGUGGUUUAAUUCGAUGAUACGCGAGGAACCUUACCUGGGCUCGAACGCUAUUUGACAGCCUGUGAAAGCAGGUUUUUCUUCGGAACGGAUAGUGAGGUGCUGCAUGGUUGUCGUCGUAAGCUCGUGCCGUGAGGUGUUGGGUUAAGUCCCGCAACGAGCGCAACCCCUAAUUUCAGUUGCCAGCACAUAAUGGUGGGGACUCUGGAAUGACUGCCGGCGUAAGCCGCGAGGAAGGUGGGGACGACGUCAAAUCAUCAUGGCCUUUAUGCCCAGGGCUACACACGUGCUACAAUGGUGCAUACAGAGGGCAGCGAAGCCGCGAGGUGGAGCCAAUCCCAGAAAGUGCAUCCCAGUUCGGAUUGGAGUCUGCAACCCGACUCCAUGAAGGUGGAAUCGCUAGUAAUCGCGCAUCAGCCAUGGCGCGGUGAAUACGUUCCCGGACCUUGUACACACCGCCCGUCAAGCCAUGGGAGCUGGGGGUACCUGAAGAUGGUGACUUUACGGGGAGCUAUCUAGGGUAAAACUGGUAACUGGGGCUAAGUCGUAACAAGGCAGCCGUACCGGAAGGUGCGGCUGGAUCACCUCCUU